ACGUAGGUGUCAAGCGUUGUUCGGAUUUAUUGGGCGUAAAGGGUCCGCAGGUGGCCUGACAAGUCUGAUGUGAAAUCCCGGAGCUCAAUUCCGGAACUGCAUUGGAAACUGUUGGGCUCGAGUACCGGAGAGGAGAUUGGAAUUCCAGGUGUAGCGAUAAAAUGCGUAGAUAUCUGGAAGAACACCGAAAGUGAAGACAGAUCUCUGGACGGCUACUGACACUCAGGGACGAAAGCAUGGGGAGCAAACAG
RNAcentral lists this ribosomal RNA (251 nucleotides) under uncultured prokaryote. RNAcentral's name for it is "partial 16S rRNA". It matches the Rfam family "Bacterial small subunit ribosomal RNA", at positions 525 to 775 of the family's 1533-position model. The record is from RNAcentral.